Molecule: ribosomal RNA, 553 nt
Filed under: bacterium 17BL
Lineage: Bacteria
Description: bacterial SSU rRNA
Rfam family: Bacterial small subunit ribosomal RNA
Source: RNAcentral
AGUCGAACGAUGAUGCUCCAGCUUGCUGGGGUGGAUUAGUGGCGAACGGGUGAGUAACACGUGAGUAACCUGCCCCCUUCUUCGGGAUAAGCUUGGGAAACUGGGUCUAAUACUGGAUAUUCUGCAAUUGUCGCAUGGUGGUUGUGGGAAAGAUUUUUUGGUGGGGGAUGGGCUCGCGGCCUAUCAGCUUGUUGGUGGGGUGAUGGCCUACCAAGGCGUCGACGGGUAGCCGGCCUGAGAGGGUGACCGGCCACACUGGGACUGAGAUACGGCCCAGACUCCUACGGGAGGCAGCAGUGGGGAAUAUUGCACAAUGGGCGCAAGCUUGAUGCAGCGACGCCGCGUGAGGGAUGACGGCUUUCGGGUUGUAAACCUCUUUCGAUGGGGAACAAGGCCAUAUUUUUGUGUGGUUGAGGGUACCUGUAUAAGAAGCGCCGGCUAACUACGUGCCAGCAGCCGCGGUAAUACGUAGGGCGCGAGCGUUGUCCGGAAUUAUUGGGCGUAAAGAGCUCGUAGGCGGCUUGUCGCGUCUGCUGUGAAAACGCGGGGCUUA